Molecule: ribosomal RNA, 253 nt
Filed under: uncultured bacterium
Lineage: Bacteria
Description: partial 16S ribosomal RNA
Rfam family: Bacterial small subunit ribosomal RNA
Source: RNAcentral
UACGGAGGGUGCAAGCGUUAAUCGGAAUUACUGGGCGUACAGGGUGCGUAGGCGGUUGUUUAAGUCUGUUGUGAAAUCCCCGGGCUCAACCUGGGAAUGGCAAUGGAUACUGGGCAGCUAGAGUGUGUCAGAGGAUGGUGGAAUUCCCGGUGUAGCGGUGAAAUGCGUAGAGAUCGGGAGGAACAUCAGUGGCGAAGGCGGCCAUCUGGGACAACACUGACGCUGAAGCACGAAAGCGUGGGGAGCAAACAGG